GCCUCGGUAGCUCAGUCGGUAAGCUUUCUUUCGAAAAGAAAGCUUGCAAAGAAACCGGAAGGAAGCUCGACAGAGAGCGUUGCCUUGGUAAGGCAAAGGUCGCGAGUUCAAUUCUCGCCCGGGGCU
RNAcentral lists this transfer RNA (126 nucleotides) under Candidatus Aenigmatarchaeota archaeon. RNAcentral describes it as "tRNA-Thr". It matches the Rfam family "tRNA". From Rfam's summary of the family: Transfer RNA (tRNA) molecules are approximately 80 nucleotides in length. Their secondary structure includes four short double-helical elements and three loops (D, anti-codon, and T loops). The record is from RNAcentral. Lineage: Archaea; Nanobdellati; Candidatus Aenigmatarchaeota.